RNAcentral lists this transfer RNA (72 nucleotides) under Ictidomys tridecemlineatus (thirteen-lined ground squirrel). RNAcentral describes it as "Spermophilus tridecemlineatus (thirteen-lined ground squirrel) tRNA". It matches the Rfam family "tRNA". From Rfam's summary of the family: Transfer RNA (tRNA) molecules are approximately 80 nucleotides in length. Their secondary structure includes four short double-helical elements and three loops (D, anti-codon, and T loops). Lineage: Eukaryota; Metazoa; Chordata; Mammalia; Rodentia; Sciuridae. The record is from Rfam by way of RNAcentral.
UGGGGUGUGGCUCAGACAUAGAGCGCUUGCCUAGCAUGCAUGAAGCACUGGGUUCUAUCCUCAGCACCACAU